RNAcentral lists this ribosomal RNA (322 nucleotides) under uncultured archaeon. RNAcentral describes it as "bacterial SSU rRNA". It matches the Rfam family "Archaeal small subunit ribosomal RNA", at positions 187 to 509 of the family's 1478-position model. The record is from RNAcentral.
CAUGCUUUCGACGUUGCCUAAGGAUGGGACCGCGUCCGAUCAGGUUGUUGGUGGGGUAACGGCUCACCAAGCCUAUAACCGGUACGGGCCCUGAGAGGGGAAGCCCGGAGAUGGAACCUGAGACAAUGUUCCAGGCCCUAUGGGGCGCAGCAGGCGCGAAACCUCCACAAUGCACGAAAGUGUGAUGGGGUUACCCCGAGUGCCUUCCGUAUAGGAGGGCUUUUCUUCGGUGUAAGGAGCCGGAGGAAUAAGGAGGGGGCCAGAUUGGUGUCAGCCGCCGCGGUAAUACCAACCCUCCGAGUAGUAGGGAUGAUUAUUUGGC